This is a long non-coding RNA of Bactrocera neohumeralis, 425 nucleotides long. RefSeq lists it as uncharacterized. NCBI's taxonomy places the organism in Eukaryota, Metazoa, Arthropoda, Insecta, Diptera, Tephritidae. The record is from RefSeq and is a predicted model, not a curated record. The transcript has 4 exons.
UUUGCUAUAUGCAGAUAUGCAUUGUAGUCGUUUGAUGUAAGAAGUAAUCAGUAUCAGUAGAAGUAAUCAGUAUAUAACAAAGUGGAAAACUGCAUUUCUCACAUUUGUGUGAAAACUUGUGAAGUGACAGCGACAAAAUUGAGCAUCACAAAGAAGAAGGUUUCAAGUUUCAGCGCCAUACAAUGUUCAGCUACGACACAGCAUUCUACAGCCAGACAACCUUCAACAGCAGGACACAGUAACUCAAGGUAUUAAGGAAAUCCUAAGAAACCAAAAGGUGCUGAUGACAAGGAUGGAUGACAUUGAGAAAACCCUCAAAGAAAAUGUUAUUGAUAAAGGUCUUCUAUUGGCUCAAACACACACGCUGCGCGAAUGUAAGGUGGUUUUAGCUAAAGUCCAUCACUCCAUUGGACGAUUGGUAGGAG